ACUCACUUUACCCUCACUGAGGACCCCGUUAUCGUCUGAAGUAAUCUUGGUGACAGCUCUUGUUGAAUUGCAGGUGACAUUCUUGAAGCACGGGUGACUUCCAUCUGCUCCUAAGAAACAACAGCAAUGCUCGAAGCAGAGGUUGGAGAUGUGAUUGGCACUACACGAGGGCUCUGACCUCCUCAGUGGAUUAAUCCAUUUGUGGAUCACAGACUGUUGGUCAGUGUGGAGGUAACAGAGCCUAGGAGGGCACCAUGCUUUCUUAAAAUCAAAUACCUUAUGGAUUUGAUGAUGCAGGCUUUGCAGAACC
Molecule: long non-coding RNA, 310 nt
Organism: Mus caroli (Ryukyu mouse)
Lineage: Eukaryota; Metazoa; Chordata; Mammalia; Rodentia; Muridae
Source: RefSeq, a predicted model, not a curated record